CCUGCCCUAGAAGCAUUGCAGGUAUGGCUGCUGUGUCACAUAUGUUUCAGUGGGUGGUAGAGAGGAGAGAGGCAAUGUCUGUGCUCAGUGUUCUGACUUAUGAAAUAGUAGCAUAAAAUUCCCUGAAAAA
Small nucleolar RNA from Apodemus sylvaticus (European woodmouse), 130 nucleotides. RefSeq annotates it as small nucleolar RNA SNORA17. Lineage: Eukaryota; Metazoa; Chordata; Mammalia; Rodentia; Muridae. The record is from RefSeq and is a predicted model, not a curated record. The transcript has a single exon.